RNAcentral lists this ribosomal RNA (436 nucleotides) under uncultured bacterium. RNAcentral describes it as "bacterial SSU rRNA". It matches the Rfam family "Bacterial small subunit ribosomal RNA", at positions 28 to 477 of the family's 1533-position model. The record is from RNAcentral.
GAUGAACGCUGGCGGCGUGCUUAACACAUGCAAGUCGAACGAUGAAGCCCAGCUUGCUGGGUGGAUUAGUGGCGAACGGGUGAGUAACACGUGAGUAACCUGCCCUUGACUCUGGGAUAAGCGCUGGAAACGGCGUCUAAUACCGGAUACGAGCUUCCACCGCAUGGUGAGUUGCUGGAAAGAAUUUCGGUCAAGGAUGGACUCGCGGCCUAUCAGGUAGUUGGUGAGGUAACGGCUCACCAAGCCGACGACGGGUAGCCGGCCUGAGAGGGUGACCGGCCACACUGGGACUGAGACACGGCCCAGACUCCUACGGGAGGCAGCAGUGGGGAAUAUUGCACAAUGGGCGCAAGCCUGAUGCAGCAACGCCGCGUGAGGGACGAAGGCCUUCGGGUCGUAAACCUCUUUUAGCAGGGAAGAAGCGAAAGUGACGGUA